GACGAACGCUGGCGGCGUGCUUAACACAUGCAAUUCGAACGGAAAGGCCCUGCUUUUGUGGGGUGCUCGAGUGGCGAACGGGUGAGUAACACGUGAGUAACCUGCCCUUGACUUUGGGAUAACUUCAGGAAACUGGGGCUAAUACCGGAUAGGAGCUCCUGCUUCAUGGUGGGGGUUGGAAAGUUUCGGCGGUUGGGGAUGGACUCGCGGCUUAUCAGCUUGUUGGUGGGGUAGUGGCUUACCAAGGCUUUGACGGGUAGCCGGCCUGAGAGGGUGACCGGCCACAUUGGGACUGAGAUACGGCCCAGACUCCUACGGGAGGCAGCAGUGGGGAAUAUUGCACAAUGGGCGGAAGCCUGAUGCAGCAACGCCGCGUGCGGGAUGACGGCCUUCGGGUUGUAAACCGCUUUCGCCUGUGACGAAGCGUGAGUGAAGGUAAUGGGUAAAGAAGCACCGGCUAACUACGUG
This 468-nucleotide ribosomal RNA is filed under the name uncultured bacterium. RNAcentral's name for it is "partial 16S ribosomal RNA". It matches the Rfam family "Bacterial small subunit ribosomal RNA", at positions 28 to 507 of the family's 1533-position model. The record is from RNAcentral.